RNAcentral lists this ribosomal RNA (254 nucleotides) under uncultured bacterium. RNAcentral's name for it is "partial 16S ribosomal RNA". It matches the Rfam family "Bacterial small subunit ribosomal RNA", at positions 524 to 776 of the family's 1533-position model. The record is from RNAcentral.
UACGGGGGGGGGCAAGCGUUGUUCGGAAUUACUGGGCGUAAAGGGCUCGUAGGUGGCCAACUAAGUCAGACGUGAAAUCCCUCGGCUUAACCGGGGAACUGCGUCUGAUACUGGAUGGCUUGAGUUCGGGAGAGGGAUGCGGAAUUCCAGGUGUAGCGGUGAAAUGCGUAGAUAUCUGGAGGAACACCGGUGGCGAAGGCGGCAUCCUGGACCGACAUUGACGCUGAGGCGCGAAAGCCAGGGGAGCAAACGGG